This 64-nucleotide transfer RNA is filed under the name Dipodomys ordii (Ord's kangaroo rat). It matches the Rfam family "tRNA". Rfam says of the family: Transfer RNA (tRNA) molecules are approximately 80 nucleotides in length. Their secondary structure includes four short double-helical elements and three loops (D, anti-codon, and T loops). Lineage: Eukaryota; Metazoa; Chordata; Mammalia; Rodentia; Heteromyidae. The record is from Rfam by way of RNAcentral.
GGUGGUUCAGUGAUAGAACACUUGCCUUGCAUGCAUGAGGCCUGGGUUCGAUUCCUCAGCACCA